This 1107-nucleotide long non-coding RNA is filed under the name Bemisia tabaci. RNAcentral's name for it is "lncRNA ENSSSA2NGG000299". Lineage: Eukaryota; Metazoa; Arthropoda; Insecta; Hemiptera; Aleyrodidae. The record is from RNAcentral.
AUGGUUUUAUUGAAACGUAAUGUGGACGAAUGUAUGAUCAAUCCUUAUAAUUCUGAAAUUCUUCACUUGCAUUGUGCCAAUAUGGAUAUCCAAUUCAUAUUGGAUGGUUACUCUUGCGCAAAUUAUGUUUUAAAUUAUGUCAAUGAGUCUCGAAAAGGUUUACCUCGUAUGGAAUUACAUCCGGGCAAAAAUUAUAAGUUUUUUUUGGAACGUCGGAACGAUCAUCUAUGGAAUGAUGAAUUCAACCGGUUGAUAUUUUGGCGCCGUUUUGUUUUUGAGGUUACAUUAGUGCAUGUACAUUUCAGGCCGAAUCGUCUAAUUUUCAGUUUCAGGAGGAUAAAUUGCUGCUGCAGUCUGGUGUUGCGCGCAACCAUGGAAUCUUCCCAAAUAACUUAUCGCUACAAAAGCAGUGUACCUAGGAGCAACGUCUACCACAUGUGGACUGGUGCAUCACCCAAACGGUAUUUUUCAAUACCUUUUUAAGCGUGCCUAUAGGGCUCGCUUUUUGAAAUCACUCGGAUGUACUGUAGUACAGCACACCGAUCGACCAAUGCUUUUCAAGGGGCGGUCCGAAUUUUUUUUCCGUCGGAUCCGUUCUUCCGUUUUUGAACCGUUAUAGUGUCAAGCCCUGAAGGUCAUUCAUCGAGAAACCGAAUUAUCCUGUUACUGGAAACCCUUGAGAACAUUUUCCCGUGGAAACCGUAUUAUUUUCUUUCAUAGGUACGUCAAAUAAGCUUUUCUACGCUCGGAGGAUUUAAAUUAGAAGUUUAAAUGCCGCCAUAACUAUUUAGCGAAUCAGCGUCUUUUCAAAAGCGGUUAAACCCAAGUUGGCUGCAUCUCCAUAGUUACAACUGCAGCGAAGUGAGCAAUCUCCAAUUCGACCAAUUGGAAGGCAGAGUUUUGGAGGUUAGGUUCCCUUGUUGAUUCUCUGAGUGUAAGUUGUUUUUUUUUUUUUUUUUUUUUUUUUUUUUUUUUUUUUUUUUUUUUUGUGUCACGUUUUUUUUUUUUUUAUUUCCAGAAAAGAUACCUUAAAGUCUCAUUUAAUACAAAUCAAUCGAAGAAAAGAGAAAAGACAAAGUUUGACUCAUUAAACAGAGUAAACUCCAU